GAAGACCAAGAUCGGCCAGGCUACGGUGGUGAUGCACCCUAUGACUCCACCACCGGUGGUGGCUAUAACCAGUAUUCUAGUGAUACCACUGACACUGGAUACAACAAGUACUCUGGUGACACCACCACUGGUGGUGGCUACAACGAGUACUCCUCCGGCGGUGAUACCGGAUAUGGAAACAAGUACUCUGGUGAUAAGACCACCACGGGUACCGCCUAUGGUGGUGGUGGUGGCUAUGGUAGUGGCUAUGGUGGUGCUGAAACUGUGGGUGAUGACUCUGAAAAGCCUGAUUAUGAGAAAGAAAAGAAGCACCACAAAAAUCUUGAGCACCUUGGUGAAGCUGGUGCUCUUGCUGCUGGUGCCUAUGCCUUGGUAAGUUUCUUUGCUUUUUAGUUUGUCCAACAUUCAAUUUUCUUAUAAUGACUGUUCAUGUUAUAUAAUUUUUUGGGGUCAUUUCUAGGGGGUUUUAUACGUAUCUUUUAAUUUAUUUUACCUUUCUUUAGCAUACUUGAAAAAGGGUAGUCAAAUUAUGGAGGGUUUUAUUCUUACAAAGUGAUAGUUUUAUGCCUAGAUAUCGUUGAUUUUUGUUUCUUUUUUCUCGUUUGAUUAAUUUCUUGUUUCUUUUUUUUUUUCAAUGUCAAUUAUGUACCAGUAUGAGAAGCAUGAGGCAAAGAAGGACCCCGAGCAUGCUCACAGGCACAAGAUAGGAGAAGAGAUUGGAGCGGUAGCCGCACUUGGAGCUGGUGGAUUUGCAUUCCAU
This 760-nucleotide long non-coding RNA is filed under the name Coffea arabica (coffee). RNAcentral describes it as "long non-coding RNA (CARA_LNC006966)". The record is from RNAcentral. Lineage: Eukaryota; Viridiplantae; Streptophyta; Magnoliopsida; Gentianales; Rubiaceae.